UACGGAGGGUGCAAGCGUUAAUCGGAAUUACUGGGCGUAAAGCGCACGCAGGUGGCUGAGUCAGUCGAUUGUGAAAGCCCUGGGCUUAACCUGGGAAUUGCAGUCGAUACUACUCAGCUAGAGUAUGGGAGAGGGCAGUGGAAUUCCCGGUGUAGCGGUGAAAUGCGUAGAUAUCUGGAGGAACACCGGUGGCGAAGGCGGCAUCCUGGACCGGUAGUUGACGCUGAGGCGCGAAAGCCGGGGAGCAAAGCGGGG
This 255-nucleotide ribosomal RNA is filed under the name uncultured bacterium. RNAcentral's name for it is "partial 16S ribosomal RNA". It matches the Rfam family "Bacterial small subunit ribosomal RNA", at positions 524 to 778 of the family's 1533-position model. The record is from RNAcentral.